GACGAACGCUGGCGGCGUGCUUAACACAUGCAAGUCGAGCGGUAAGGCUCCUUCGGGAGUACACGAGCGGCGAACGGGUGAGUAACACGUGAGUAAUCUGCCCUUCACUUCGGGAUAACCACCGGAAACGGUGGCUAAUACCGAAUACGACCAGUCUUCGCAUGAGGUGCUGGUGGAAAGUCUUUUCGGUGAAGGAUGUGCUCGCGGCCUAUCAGCUUGUUGGUGGGGUAAUGGCCUACCAAGGCUUCGACGGGUAGCCGGCCUGAGAGGGUGACCGGUCACACUGGGACUGAGACACGGCCCAGACUCCUACGGGAGGCAGCAGUGGGGAGUAUUGGACAAUGGGCGAAAGCCUGAUCCAGCAACGCCGCGUGAGGGAUGACGGCCUUCGGGUUGUAAACCUCUUUCAGUACCGACGAAGCGCCCUGUCGGGUGGUGACGGUAGGUACAGAAGAAGGACCGGCCAACUACGUG
This 474-nucleotide ribosomal RNA is filed under the name uncultured bacterium. RNAcentral describes it as "partial 16S ribosomal RNA". It matches the Rfam family "Bacterial small subunit ribosomal RNA", at positions 28 to 507 of the family's 1533-position model. The record is from RNAcentral.